RNAcentral lists this long non-coding RNA (1162 nucleotides) under Ursus maritimus (polar bear). Its description in RNAcentral is "lncRNA (ENSUMAG00000018580.1)". The record is from RNAcentral. Lineage: Eukaryota; Metazoa; Chordata; Mammalia; Carnivora; Ursidae.
GCUCAAAACGAGAAAAGAAAACCGUACAGACAAGAGUCAGGGGUCAGCCAGGCCAGAGGCCUGAAGCCCUCGCGUGGCGAAGAGGCUCCAGACACGAGUUUAGCUCCCAACGAUUGCUGCUACUUGAAAAACAGUGUCUCCGCUCCCUUGGGGCCUGGGCAGGAGGGGUUCAGGCCGCACCGUCCCAUCACCCAUAUGCAGAACCUUGAAAAUCAUUAUAGCAGUUUCAUUUCUCUACGCUGGGGCACAUCUUGUUCCCUAAAACACAGAAAACGAAAGUGAUUUAAAAGCAAACAUCUCAAAACUUGAGAAUGCGAAAUGCUUCUGAAAAUGCUGGCUGGUGACAAUCAAGUUGUUCCAUCAGCUCAUACAGCCUGUCAACUGCAGCCAGGGACUCUAAAUUCAGCAUGCCAGCCCUCCCUGCUGCUCCUGCACCCCUUGGCCGGCUGGAGAGCUCUCGAUGAGAGGGGCUGAACAAUGGAGCAACUGCCGCCUCAGUGGGUCUGUGGCCUGACCUCCGGUGGGACUCUGGAAAGCCUCAAAGCCAGACCCCGGAAGAGACGGCACAGGAAGGAGGGGAUUAGGCUGCUCAAGGGCAUGAAGCCAGCUGCUUCCUCCAGGGUCUGAUCACCUUCAUCAGAGAGCGGCUAGUGAGCCCCCAUCUGACUCUGCUGUUCACCAACGGGAGCUGAACAGAUUCGGCCUCUGCCCCGCCUCCCUCCCGGGGGGUGCAGUUUAGACGAGGACCACGUACCAGGUCGGAGCCAGAAGAAUGGGAGCAAGUAACCACACAAUAGGCAGCACGUUUGCUGUGGUCCAUGUCCAAGGCUGGCUCAUGUACACGGGGUAGGCUGGACAGGUGCAUGGCAGUGUCCCUGGCACAAGCAGGCGGGUAUUUCUUCUAAUAUAAUGACUACAUUGGGAGAGAAAAAUCCUGAGAACCAAUGGUGGAUGGCCUGGGGCUGGCAGAGGGCAGGGGCGUGUGGCACCAGGCUGGGCAGGGGGCACUGCCCAGGUUCCUUCUGGCUCUAUCAACACCCGGUUUAAGACUCAACAAAUGGGGGGCGCCUGGGUGGCACAGCGGUUAAGCGUCUGCCUUCGGCUCAGGGCGUGAUCCCGGCGUUCUGGGAUCGAGCCCCACAUCAGGCUCCUCUGCUAUGAG